Molecule: ribosomal RNA, 501 nt
Filed under: Triticum aestivum (bread wheat)
Lineage: Eukaryota; Viridiplantae; Streptophyta; Magnoliopsida; Poales; Poaceae
Description: partial small subunit ribosomal RNA
Source: RNAcentral
AUGAGUGACUGCUUCCAACAUCUUAUUGACAGAGUUUGUCAGAGGCUUAAGGGUUGGAAAGAAAAAGUUCUUUCAAUGCAAGCAAAUAAAAUUUUAUUGAAAGCUAUAGCACAAGCUAUUCCUUCCUAUGCAAUGUUAGUAUUCAAAUUACCAAAAGGAAUUUGUAAAUCAAUUACUGACGAAAUAUUAGCAUUUUGGUGGGGCGAUGGUGAAGGAAAGAUUAAAAUGCACUGGUUCGCAUGGUGGAAACUGUGUGUACCAAAGAAGAAGGGUGGAUUGGGGUUCACGGAUAAUCUUGCUAUGUUAGCAAAGUAGUGUUGGCGUCUUCUUGAAAAUUUGGACUCGUUGUGUGCAUGUGUAUUAAGUGCUAAUUACCCCAAUGGUGACAUGUUAAAGGCUGGACCUAAGAAAGGGUCAUCGUUUACUUGGCAAAGUAUUGUGGCUAGAAUUCAAACUUUGCACUCGCAAAAAAAAAAUUCAAACUUUCAAGAGAGGUUGUAA